RNAcentral lists this long non-coding RNA (613 nucleotides) under Anas platyrhynchos platyrhynchos (common mallard). RNAcentral describes it as "lncRNA (ENSAPLG00000018745.1)". Lineage: Eukaryota; Metazoa; Chordata; Aves; Anseriformes; Anatidae. The record is from RNAcentral.
CUUGGCUCCACCCUUGUUAAGUGAAAUCUGCCAGCUGGGGAUCAUUUGACCUCUGCUAUAUAGGAAGCAUGAGGAGGCAUGAGAGGGAUUGCUUCCACAGGGGAGUUUGAUGCUUCAGUUAUCUAGGGUUCUUUUCAAGUGUCAUGGUGCAAUGAACUCUGUGUUCACCAAGUAGGCGGCUUUUUAUUCAUAUUAUCUGCUGUCUCUGAAGAAUAGUUUUAGAGAUUCUGAUGUUGCAGCAUUGCUGGUGCCUUCUCAGUAGAGUAAAAGUCUCACGCUGUGUAUUCACUGGGAAAAAGCUUAGAAGUGCAUCAGGUUCAGGAGCUAAAAGAGGCCUGCUUCUCAGCUGUGGAGAAACUUUUGGAGAAACUUGCUGCUCCAACUUCCAGUGGGCAGUCCUCUGUCUCAGAUCUGUCCCAGUUCAUCAUCUAACAUGUACUUAAACUGCCCUGAUGCCGUAUAUUACUUCCUGAUGGCGCAGCAAUCAGGAUAUCGUCCAUGUAUUGGAUGAUAGUCGCGGUCGGGUCACUGCACUGAACUGGCGCCAGCGCCCAAUCCACCGUGAUCGGGCAGAUAGUAGGCGAGUUGAUCAUUCCUUGAGGCAGCACUUUCC